Molecule: ribosomal RNA, 267 nt
Filed under: uncultured bacterium
Lineage: Bacteria
Description: partial 16S ribosomal RNA
Rfam family: Bacterial small subunit ribosomal RNA
Source: RNAcentral
GCAAGUCGUGCGGGGAUCUUUCGGUAGCAAUAUUGAAAGCUUUCAGCGGCGAACGGGUGCGUAACACGUGGGCAACAUGCCGGAAAGUGGGGGAUAGCCCGCCGAAAGGCGGAUUAAUACCGCAUGUGGCCGCUUCGCGAUUGCGGGGCGGCCAAAGCUGGGGAUCUUCGGACCUGGCGCUUUCCGAUUGGCCCGCGGCCUAUCAGUUUGUUGGUGAGGUAACGGCUCACCAAGACUACGACGGGUAGCUGGUCUGAGAGGAUGAUC